GCUGGAGGGCGAGAACGUCAGCCUUUUGGGGGGAGGGGUACAUGACCCAAUGGUUAACAAGCGGAACAAGUCUACGUGGCCAGCUGGCCCAAGCAAGUGACCACAGUGCCCAUGGACUCUACCAAGGACAUCCACACUCCUGGAGACUGGGAUCACAAAGGGUGGUUGAUCUUCAGAAAAGGAUUCUGCUCUCCAGCCUCUUAGCAGGAAGGUCAGUGUUCCGACUCAGGUGACGGUGAGCAGGUCAGAAGUUGGCAAACUAUGGCCACUAGCCAAAUCUCACCACCAUCUGGUUUUGCAAAUACAGACUCCGUGGAACACAGCCACGCC
Molecule: long non-coding RNA, 330 nt
Organism: Otolemur garnettii (small-eared galago)
Lineage: Eukaryota; Metazoa; Chordata; Mammalia; Primates; Galagidae
Exons: 3
Source: RefSeq, a predicted model, not a curated record